Molecule: ribosomal RNA, 313 nt
Filed under: uncultured Mycobacterium sp.
Lineage: Bacteria; Bacillati; Actinomycetota; Actinomycetes; Mycobacteriales; Mycobacteriaceae
Description: bacterial SSU rRNA
Rfam family: Bacterial small subunit ribosomal RNA
Source: RNAcentral
AUGGCCUACCAAGGCGACGACGGGUAGCCGGCCUGAGAGGGCGUCCGGCCACACUGGGACUGAGAUACGGCCCAGACUCCUACGGGAGGCAGCAGUGGGGAAUAUUGCACAAUGGGCGCAAGCCUGAUGCAGCGACGCCGCGUGGGGGAUGACGGCCUUCGGGUUGUAAACCCCUUUCAGCACAGAACGAAGCGCAGGUGACGGUAUGUGCAGAAGAAGCACCGGCCAACUACGUGCCACCAGCCGCGGUAAUACGUAGGGUGCGAGCGUUGUCCGGAAUUACUGGGCGUAAAGAGCUCGUAGGUGGUUUGUC